CCCUAAAAAUUUUCGUAUUCCCUCCCAACAAUUCUAAUUCUCCCAUUUAGACUUCAUUUUCAUUUAUCUUUCUCUAAUUCCACUGGCUUCUCCAUGAAGAUGAUCUCAUCUGCCCUCCUACGAAGGAAGAAAGAUGAAAGCUAAUCAACAAGUCUUUUUUUAUUUAAUUUGUUUCGCUCCCUCUCUUGGCCCUUUAAUUGUUGUAUCAAUCUAUCUAUAUAAUUUGAAAUGGUGAAUGUGAAACAUCAAAACCUAAGGCCGAAUUUUAACGAUAAUCAUGAGGGAUCAUCAUCAAGUUUAUUUCAAUUGGUUUCUUCACAUAACAUAAGGUUUCAUCUCUCCGCAGUUGGCUCUCACGAUUAACGGUUCACAAUAUACAAGUAUCAUGUUCAGUGUGUAACAUCUUCAUGUGGGAUGGAAAGGCUGGUGGAAGAAGUUAGAGGAGGCAUGUAUUGAGGAAAAAGUAGUGGCGAAACCAAAGAGAAAACCUACCGAGAAAAACAAAAAGGAAAUAGAAAGUAAAAAUGAAAAGAAGCGGCCAAGAAGAAAGAAAUCAAAGGUAAAAGAGAACGUGUCGAGGAAAAGGCAAAAGAGAAUGAAGGAAAAAUCAUGACGAGAGCACAAAGGAAUCAAAGGGUUAGAAUGGAAAAAAGUGGAGUUUUGACAAUGAGUGCAUUUUUGGUCGAUAGUGCAUUCCUUUCAAAGGAGGAUUCUAGAAGACUAGAGUGUGAGUACGAUUUAUUUGGGCAUGAUAGUUACAUGUACUUAAAUUGUGAUGAUUUUGAAGCGGUUUUUACAUUCACCGAGCUGACUGGUGCUGUCAUCACUUCUUAUAUAUCACUUCUUAUAUAAUGUUUCUGUAUGAGCAAAUUAAGAAAGAGCAAAUACAUGAUCGUGGAAUAUGUUUUAUGAACCCGUCUGUAAUUUUGCGGAAUGGUCAACGCAAACCCAAACACAUCGAGGAUGCAAGUAGAGCGGUUGCAGAUCGAUUGUAUAAAAGAAAGGGCAAUGACAUCAUCCUAUUGCCCUACAACCCUGGGUUUGAUUUUCCUUUUAAAUAAGUAUUUGUAAAGGCCUAUUAUCUUAAUUUAUUUUGAUUGAAUUUUGGAUUUUGAAGAACCAUUGGGUGUUGGCAGUACUAAACCUGAAAACAACUACUUGCUAUUAUCUUGAUUCCUUACAGCCUAGAAGUGUCGAUGAGCAGUUGAGACAAAUUAUUGAUACUGCAAUGGCUGUGUAUGUUUCAGAAAGUGGUGCCAACAUACGGGUUAAACUCGUAUGGAUUAACGCUAGGAUAAGCACUUAAUCCCUUAUGUAAAUUGUGGUUGUAAUGAUAUUGUAAAUAUUGACACCCUUUAGUUUAAACUUAAAUCGCAAUGGUUUCACAUUUCUUGAUAUUUUUAAUUGUGGUAGUGUCCACGUCAGCCAGUAGGUACUGAAUGCGGCUACUAUGUGAUGAAGUUCAUGAAGGAGAUAGCUUACGAAGGAGUUGAAAUACUUGACAAUGAUAAUGUUGGGAAUGGAGUAGAAGAAUACUCGGCUGCAGAUAUGGAUGGCAUUCGUGAAGAUUGGUGACUUAUGCGGUUAACUCUAUUUUAAGUUAUAAAUCGUAUUUUAGGUGUUGAUAAUGUAUUGACAAACAAUUCUUUUUUUGUUAACGUUAAAAUAUUUGUAGUAUACUUGA
Long non-coding RNA from Helianthus annuus (common sunflower), 1684 nucleotides. RefSeq lists it as uncharacterized. NCBI's taxonomy places the organism in Eukaryota, Viridiplantae, Streptophyta, Magnoliopsida, Asterales, Asteraceae. The transcript is spliced from 6 exons. The record is from RefSeq and is a predicted model, not a curated record.